CAUUGCCUGAGUAAAAUUAGGUUUUUAGGUCUUUUUGGCAUUUACUUCUUUUACAGCUGAUGUGGAAUCAAUUAUUCCUUUAUAUGUUCAUAAGUACAAAAUUUCACUAUCUUAAUUACUUCCAAACAAACAAUUUCCAAGCAAGGGUAUGUGUGCCUGGUUUUUCUGCUCCUCCAAUUCUAAGAUCGUUAUUUGUUUGCCUUCUGUUUCUCACCCAAAAAUACAGAUGGUUGGGAAAGAUACAUCUUAUUGAGUUGUCCUAUGCAGUCUCUGUCUAUAUUUGCAUUUCUUUCUAUUCCUAUCUUGCCUUUUUUUUUUUUUUUUACACAGAUUUGGUUUUCCCUUCCCUUUGUGAAAACCAGAAUUGAGCAGCAUUGUACAUCAGAGAUGGUACCCAGGAAAUGUCUUUGUUCCUCAGUAUUUUUCGUCAAAACUUCCAUGCAAAGACAGUCCCAGCAAAGUUGACAUACAUCCCAACCUCUCUCAUUGGCUUUUCUAACUUUUUAUAGAGCUAUUCCCCUGAGAAAAGUGAAAUGCUGAGUAUGAUGGGUAUUGCCUGUUGAUAGGAUAGCUAAGGAAAUUUGCUUUUGGAGAAUGUAUCUUAAAUAAUUAUACAGGAAAGUAGUCACAGUAUAGUGUUCUGUUUAAGGUACAUCAUGGGUACAUAAAUGCCUAAAACCUUCAUCCUUUGGUCUAUUUCUCUGUAAGUGUAAAUUACAUAUAUAUUAGAAAGAGAGAUAGAAUCAAAGAAUUAGGGGUGUUACAGAGGCAGCUUUUUGCUGCCUUGGUUUUGACUGUAUCAGCAUUUCUAUUGCAGACCUCUAUUUUCAGGGGUUUUAGAGACUCGACCAUAAAAAUUUGUUUCAGGCUUAAAAGUUUUGAAAGAUUUUUUUAGGUAUCUGAUUUUAAACAAAUAGAUCUUGUUUUUAUAUUAUAGGAGGGAAAUAAAUGGAGUUUACUAGUUCAAUUUUGCGCUAAUAUAACUUUUAAUAAACUUAACUUUUUAAACAAAAACAUAAAAUCUAAUUAGUUCAUAGUUGGUUGAUGCUUUUUUAAAAGAAUCAAUUAUUGACCUUGAGAAACUUGCCUGCUUCAUCAGUAUAGUAACCUAUCUUUAAGAUAUUUUAAAACGUGUAUACCUUUAUUAACAUUAUCUUGAUUCCAGCGGUGGAUCAGUAUGAUAAUGCAGAUUUAUGACAUCCAUAUAAGCUAUCUGGUAAUAUAGAUUUAGGAAUAUAUAGUAUAUAUGAUACAUAUAUAUAUAUAUAUUUACUAGAUAGAUUAAGGAGAAAAAGCUCCCAUAAACUUAGUUUGUCAAAUAAAUACCAUAUAUUUAAAAAAUGCACAGACAUUUAUCAUUCAGAGUCAGAAUGAGAUUCAAGUAAUUGCAAAGGGAAGUUGUCUCUUGGGUAAACAAUACACAUUUUAUAGCUUCUUGUGAAACUAAUUUUUUCCUUUCUAUAUUGUGGUUAUGGGAAAGUAAAAGAAUUAAAAUUAAUACAGACUUUAUUUAAAUAACAUUAAACUGUGAAGCAGAGAGAAACGCCAGGAAAUUAAAUAUUUAGGCCAUUAUCUUGUGGUUGUCUGACAAUACUUCACCUUUCUUUUAAUUCCCCAUGAUGUUUUCAAUUAUGGAGAGAGUAUUAAAAUCUAGAUUUAAGUUUCUGCAUUGUUCUCAUUACACUCAACACUAUUUCAUUAAGUUCUUGAUAAUAUGUAGUCUUCUGUGUGCAAGGAAAGAAAUAAAUAACACAUUUAUUUGCUGAAUGAGUUUUAAGGUGUGCAAGUUGUAGUGAUGUUUUUCCCACACAGGAUUCUAUACACUUAUACCAUCUUAAAUCUGGCAUUUUUUUUUUCAGAUAGCUUCUACUGACAAACACAAAGCUUGUUUGUGUGCAAAUAUAAGGCUAAAUAAAUGGUGCUAAAGUGUAUUAUGACUGUCAGAUAAAAUCAGGCAAAAUUUUGUGGUGCUUAAAUUAAUUUUUUCAUUGAUUUUAUUGAUCAGUGCAUUGAACAGUGUUUAUUAUUCACAAGUUGUCUUUUAUUAGUAAAUCAAGGCCUCAUAGCACAUUGUUAAAUAAAGUGGUUGACUAGUCUAUGUAACAGCUCACCAAGCUACUAUCUCUUUUAACUCCUUAUAAUGUUGCGUCAUUAAAGGUCAAGGGGUCAUGCUAUUAAUCUCAUUGCUAUAGACCAUUAACAUGACUGAACUUUUCCACAAAGUACUUAUGUUUACAAUGCUAUAACCCUUUGACUGCUGCGGCAACCUUUAACCACACAAAUGUCACAAGCUAGAAUCAUCAGCAUGGUUCUUGCCAUGGCAAUCAAAGAGUUAAGGGCUGUGCAGUGAUUUGUUUUGUAUUUAUUAAUUUAUAUUUAUUUUGUUUCCAUUCAAGGAGGGGAUUAGGGGUGGGGCAGUUUUUGUCUGCUGUAAGUGUCUUAACCUAGGGAAGGGUUAAAUGGCUUUUUAUACUAUUGCAUCUUCUGUAUUUACCAUCAAUUCAUUGUGUUGUAAUUAAAAGAAACUGUCAAUAAAUAAGAGAACAG
This 2547-nucleotide long non-coding RNA is filed under the name Homo sapiens (human). RNAcentral's name for it is "non-protein coding lnc-DCAF4L2-3:1". The record is from RNAcentral. Lineage: Eukaryota; Metazoa; Chordata; Mammalia; Primates; Hominidae.